Monopterus albus (swamp eel) is the source of this 241-nucleotide long non-coding RNA. RefSeq lists it as uncharacterized. NCBI's taxonomy places the organism in Eukaryota, Metazoa, Chordata, Actinopteri, Synbranchiformes, Synbranchidae. The record is from RefSeq and is a predicted model, not a curated record. The transcript has 3 exons.
AUGCUCCACCUGGAACUCAACCACAUUAAGGCACUGUUCAACUGGAAGGAAGGAAGACUUUCAGAAGGGAGACGAGGUAUUGUUCUUAAGAUGCAUCUGACACACAUGCAGACAUCGAGAGGAAGUUCACUCUACCAUCCAGUCCUCAACUCAUUUUGCUUGGCAUGUAUUUUGGCGUACAUCAAAAAAAUAUUAAUAAUAACUUCAUUUUAUAAGGAUAAUUAGGUAACUGCACAUAGUG